Molecule: long non-coding RNA, 350 nt
Organism: Sinocyclocheilus grahami
Lineage: Eukaryota; Metazoa; Chordata; Actinopteri; Cypriniformes; Cyprinidae
Exons: 3
Source: RefSeq, a predicted model, not a curated record
CCGCCGAUCAAACUUCCCCAAGCCAUUAUCGGCUGAUAGCGAUCGGUAGCUGAUCAAUCGGAGCACCCCUAUUGAUUACUUGUGCACAUCCCUAAUAUAGACAAUAUUGAUUAGUGUAUACACAACUUUUUUGCUUGUAUUUUCAGGGCACAGUGACCGAGGAGAAGUCACAAGCCACCCACCAAAUAUAUACAUUACCCUCCACAGCAGAUGAAGAAGAGUGGCUUAGACCGGUCAUGCGAUUGGAUCAGCAAGUGAUGGUACAUUGGGGCAUGUGUCCAGACAGUUAUGACUUGCUUAUAUCGGCAAGUGAUGUAGAUGGAGAAGUAGAGGAACCUCCCAACCCAGAC